RNAcentral lists this transfer RNA (73 nucleotides) under Ishige okamurae. Its description in RNAcentral is "tRNA-Phe". It matches the Rfam family "tRNA". From Rfam's summary of the family: Transfer RNA (tRNA) molecules are approximately 80 nucleotides in length. Lineage: Eukaryota; Phaeophyceae; Ectocarpales; Ishigeaceae. The record is from RNAcentral.
GUCUAUGUAGCUCAAUAGGUAGAGUAAAGGGUUGAAAACCCUUGGGUUGUUGGUUCAAUCCCAAUCGUAGGCA